RNAcentral lists this ribosomal RNA (503 nucleotides) under uncultured bacterium. Its description in RNAcentral is "partial 16S ribosomal RNA". It matches the Rfam family "Bacterial small subunit ribosomal RNA", at positions 30 to 523 of the family's 1533-position model. The record is from RNAcentral.
AUUGAACGCUGGCGGCAGGCUUAACACAUGCAAGUCGAGCGGGGUGAUGGUGCUUGCACUAUCACUUAGCGGCGGACGGGUGAGUAAUGCUUAGGAAUCUGCCUAUUAGUGGGGGACAACAUCUCGAAAGGGAUGCUAAUACCGCAUACGUCCUACGGGAGAAAGCAGGGGAUCACUUGUGACCUUGCGCUAAUAGAUGAGCCUAAGUCGGAUUAGCUAGUUGGUGGGGUAAAGGCCUACCAAGGCGACGAUCUGUAGCGGGUCUGAGAGGAUGAUCCGCCAAACUGGGACUGAGACACGGCCCAGACGCCUACGGGGGGCAGCAGUGGGGAAUAUUGGACAAUGGGGGGAACCCUGAUCCAGCCAUGCCGCGUGUGUGAAGAAGGCCUUAUGGUUGUAAAGCACUUUAAGCGAGGAGGAGGCUCUUUUGGUUAAUACCCAAGAUGAGUGGACGUUACUCGCAGAAUAAGCACCGGCUAACUCUGUGCCAGCCGCCGCCGUAA